This 465-nucleotide ribosomal RNA is filed under the name Vreelandella stevensii. Its description in RNAcentral is "partial 16S ribosomal RNA". It matches the Rfam family "Bacterial small subunit ribosomal RNA", at positions 338 to 795 of the family's 1533-position model. Lineage: Bacteria; Pseudomonadati; Pseudomonadota; Gammaproteobacteria; Oceanospirillales; Halomonadaceae. The record is from RNAcentral.
CCUACGGGGGGCAGCAGUGGGGAAUAUUGGACAAUGGGGGGAACCCUGAUCCAGCCAUGCCGCGUGUGUGAAGAAGGCCCUCGGGUUGUAAAGCACUUUCAGUGAGGAAGAACGCCUGGUGGUUAAUACCCAUCAGGAAAGACAUCACUCACAGAAGAAGCACCGGCUAACUCCGUGCCAGCAGCCGCGGUAAUACGGAGGGUGCGAGCGUUAAUCGGAAUUACUGGGCGUAAAGCGCGCGUAGGUGGCUUGAUAAGCCGGUUGUGAAAGCCCCGGGCUCAACCUGGGAACGGCAUCCGGAACUGUCAAGCUAGAGUGCAGGAGAGGAAGGUAGAAUUCCCGGUGUAGCGGUGAAAUGCGUAGAGAUCGGGAGGAAUACCAGUGGCGAAGGCGGUCUUCUGGACUGACACUGACACUGAGGUGCGAAAGCGUGGGUAGCAAACAGGAUUAGAUACCCUGGUAGUC